GACAGAGGGUGCAAACGUUGUUCGGAAUUACUGGCGUAAAGCGUGUGUAGGCGGCCUUGCAAGUCGGAUGUGAAAGCCCCGGGCUCAACCCGGGAAGUGCUUCUGAUACUGCUUGGCUUGAGUACUGGAGAGGAUAGUGGAAUUCCAGGUGUAGUGGUGAAAUGCGUAGAUAUCGGGAAGAACACCAGUGGCGAAGGCGCUCUACUGGGCCACAACUGACGCUGAGGGACGAAAGCUAGGGGAGCGAAAGGG
This 252-nucleotide ribosomal RNA is filed under the name uncultured bacterium. RNAcentral describes it as "partial 16S ribosomal RNA". It matches the Rfam family "Bacterial small subunit ribosomal RNA", at positions 524 to 776 of the family's 1533-position model. The record is from RNAcentral.